AUAGGGAUAACCUUCCGAAAGGAGGGCUAAUACCGAAUGAGACCACAGUAUCUACGGAUACAGGGGUCAAAGGAUGGCCUCUACUUGUAAGCUAUCGCUUGAGGAUGGGCUUAUGCACCAUUAGCCUGUUGGUGAGGUAACGGCUCACCAAAGCUUUGAUGGUUAACUGAUCUGAGAGGUUGAUCAGUCACACUGGAACUGAGACACGGUCCAG
Molecule: ribosomal RNA, 214 nt
Filed under: uncultured bacterium
Lineage: Bacteria
Description: partial 16S ribosomal RNA
Rfam family: Bacterial small subunit ribosomal RNA
Source: RNAcentral